UCAAGACGGAAAGUCCUCAGGACGGAAAGACCUCAGGUCGGAAGGUCUUCAGGUCGGGAGGUCCUCAAGACGGAAAGUCCUCAGGACGGAAAGACCUCAGGUCGGAAGGUCUUCAGGUCGGGAGGUCCUCAAGACGGAAAGUCCUCAGGACGGAAAGACCUCAGGUCGGAAGGUCUUCAGGUCGGGAGGUCCUCAAGACGGAAAGUCCUCAGGACGGAAAGACCUCAGGUCGGAAGGUCUUCAGGUCGGGAGGUCCUCAAGACGGAAAGUCAUCAGGACGGGAAGUCCGCAGGUCGGGAGGCCCUCAGGCCGGGAAGUUCUCAGGUCGGAAC
Long non-coding RNA from Andrographis paniculata, 332 nucleotides. RefSeq lists it as uncharacterized. The transcript is spliced from 3 exons. The record is from RefSeq and is a predicted model, not a curated record. Lineage: Eukaryota; Viridiplantae; Streptophyta; Magnoliopsida; Lamiales; Acanthaceae.